Molecule: long non-coding RNA, 1860 nt
Organism: Colias croceus (clouded yellow)
Lineage: Eukaryota; Metazoa; Arthropoda; Insecta; Lepidoptera; Pieridae
Exons: 7
Source: RefSeq, a predicted model, not a curated record
UGAAAUCGUUUAAAUAGUCUUAUUAUAUAUUUGGUUGCUUGUAUUCUGCGAAUAUUUGUACUAUUUUAAUGAAUACGCUGUUAUACACAGCUGUUAUAAAUAAGUUUUGGAACAAUGAAAAUAAUCUAAAACCCCUUCCAGACGACACAAUUUUUCGUCCAAUUUGACUAGAUUGGCAAUCAAAUUGGGUCGUCUAGACGGAAAUAUGAAAUUCAAGGUCAUUGGGUGGUCAGGAUCGGCCGAUUUGCGAUUGCCUUGGGAUUGCCCGAUCAAAUUGGGUGGUGUUGACGCUAAUUGGCCAAUUUUUACUUGUAAUCUCUUCCUGAUGCUAGAUAUUUAAGCGUUACUAUUAAUCUCUCCUCAGGACUAACGGCUUCUCUCAUAACAGUGUCUUGUUUAGUAAUGUAUGGGCUUACUAGAGAUAAUAAUUCAUUAAAAGUGUCAUGGUCCAUCCGCAUAAAAUUUGUGAAAUCGACACUGUCCAGUUCUCUAACAAUAUUUAUAUGACUUAGGCGAUUUCUUUUAAGCAACCAUUCUUUGCUCCAUAUCCUUUUUCUUUUUCUUUCUUCUAAAUUUGUAGUUACAGCCAAAAUCAGCCCCAAUUUUGUUUUUUUAUUAAGAGGCAUGUUGCAAAAUAAAAGUCCAGUCAGUAACGGCAACGGAGCAGAACUAGAAUUGGCGAUUUAAUUGUGUACGUGUGGAUAGAGGAUUAAAUUGGGCCCGAUUCAAUCGGCAAUCAAAUCGGCUGAUUAAAUUGUGUCGUCUGGAAGGGGUUUAACAAACAACAGUUCGAAGAAAUGAAACGCGCUUGUCAGUUGUCACAAAUUAUUAUUGUUGCGAUUUGUAUCUCUAUUUGUAUUUUCGUGAAGAUCGUUUAAGUAUUUGAUACAAAUAUGAAUGCAGAGAACGAACAAGUAAACAAAAAGAGCCGUGGAGAAAACUGGAUCCAAGAAGAAAAGGACCUGUUUCUAGAAAUAAUGCGCACCUCAUCGUCGAUCAUAGAAAACAAGCAAACGGAUACAAAUACAAACAAAAAGAAAAAUGCAGAAUGGAAGAAAAUUCAAAGCAAAUUAAGAGAAUUAACUGGGAGGUCACGAGACAUCGCUCAGCUAAAAGGGUUCUGGAGGAGAACGAAGUUGACAGCAAAGAAGAACGUGUCGGAGCACAAGAGGGCUAUACAAUCCACUGGUGGGGGACUUCGGCCCCCGUCUCCGUCUCAAGAGGAUUUAAUUAUAAUGCAGAUAUGCCCAAAAGACUUUGUAAAUGAGUCAAACAAAUUUGAUAGUGAUUGAAUAUCUCAAAAUGCAGCUCCCAUAUUAGUAGAGAUUAAAUAAUGAGGCACAGCAAAACAACACUAUAUAUGAUAUAGAAUUAAAUGAGACUGUUCACAACAAUGAACUAGAAUUUGUGAAUGAAAUUAUUACUGUGGCAGAUGUACAUAAUCCUGAGGUAAACUUAGGUCCAAAUAAAAACACAACUUGAUGAGGACAAUCUGGAUAAACAAAAAAUGAAGGUGAAAACUAAUAAAAUCAAAGAGUAUUCUGAUGAUGAUAAGACUAAGCAUUGCAAAAAUAAAAUCGGCCACAAAGAAAUGAUUGUCGCCAGUAAUACAAAUUACAAAAAGCGUAGCUUGGAAAUGCUGGAGGAAGAGCACAAAAUAAAAAUGAAAUACCACAAACUUAUUCACCAGGAGCUGCGCCAUAAAAUUGAAAUAGACAUUUUAUUACUUGAGAAAGAGAAGAAGGAAUUAGAAAUAAAACUGUUGAAAUCUUAGAUUAGUUAUUUAUUGUAAUAUUUAGUUAUAAGUUAUUUCAAUUAAAAAUGCUGGUUAAUAAAAUUAUUUCUUAUUAUUGCUCCUCU